This 493-nucleotide ribosomal RNA is filed under the name uncultured bacterium. RNAcentral describes it as "partial 16S ribosomal RNA". It matches the Rfam family "Bacterial small subunit ribosomal RNA", at positions 28 to 507 of the family's 1533-position model. The record is from RNAcentral.
GACGAACGCUGGCGGCGUGCUUAACACAUGCAAGUCGAACGGUGAAGCGCCUUCCUUUUGGUGGGUGUGGAUGAGUGGCGAACGGGUGAGUAACACGUGAGUAACCUGCCCCCUUCUUCUGGAUAACCGCGUGAAAGUGUGGCUAAUACGGGAUAUUCUGGGUCUGUCGCAUGAUGGGUCUGGGAAAGAUAUUGUUUCGGUGGGGGAUGGGCUCGCGGCCUAUCAGCUUGUUGGUGGGGUGAUGGCCUACCAAGGCGGUGACGGGUAGCCGGCCUGAGAGGGUGGACGGUCACACUGGGACUGAGACACGGCCCAGACUCCUACGGGAGGCAGCAGUGGGGAAUAUUGCACAAUGGGCGCAAGCCUGAUGCAGCGACGCCGCGUGAGGGAUGGAGGCCUUCGGGUUGUGAACCUCUUUCGCCAGUGAAGCAGGCCUGCCUCGUUUGUGGGUGGGUUGACGGUAGCUGGAGAAGAAGCGCCGGCUAACUACGUG